This 420-nucleotide ribosomal RNA is filed under the name bacterium. RNAcentral describes it as "partial 16S ribosomal RNA". It matches the Rfam family "Bacterial small subunit ribosomal RNA", at positions 355 to 776 of the family's 1533-position model. The record is from RNAcentral.
UGGGGGAUAUUGCACAAUGGGCGAAAGCCUGAUGCAGCGACGCCGCGUGGGGGAUGAAGGCUUUCGGGUUGUAAACCUCUUUCGCUAUCGAACAAGGCCCGCUUAGGGUGGGUUGAGGGUAGGUGGAGAAGAAGCGCCGGCUAACUACGUGCCAGCAGCCGCGGUAAUACGUAGGGCGCGAGCGUUGUCCGGAAUUAUUGGGCGUAAAGGGCUUGUAGGCGGCUUGUUGCGCCUGCUGUGAAAACGCGGGGCUUAACUUCGCGCGUGCAGUGGGUACGGGCAGGCUUGAGUGUGGGAGGGGUGACUGGAAUUCCAGGUGUAGCGGUGGAAUGCGCAGAUAUCUGGAGGAACACCGAUGGCGAAGGCAGGUCACUGGGCCAUUACUGACGCUGAGGAGCGAAAGCAUGGGUAGCGAACAGG